UAUACAGAGAAACCCUUUCUCAAAAAACCAAAAAAAAAAAAAAAUUCCCCGCUUUUGCAGAAAGCCACUAUAUUCUCCUCUGGUUUUGUCUCUCUUACUUUAAAAAUGCCAUAAACUACAGACAGAAUGGUUGAAAGGUCACUUCUAAUUUAUAGCCUUUUAAGAAGCCAACAUGUACAGAGUGCGGUUUACUUUAGCAUUAUCUGAGCACCGCCUCCCUCUCCCAACCAUACAGAGUUUUCUGCUUGGCCUGGGAAGGCCUUGGGGAAUGACUGAGACACAGGAAGAGGGUAAGGAUCCAUGGAAAUGUGAGCUGAUGGAUGGGUUAUCCCACAGAUGGACAGAAGGAACACGGGCCAUUGGCUCCAGCCUCACAAGUAGGAACAAGUCAUUAGAUGUGAGUUAGGAAAUAUAUCAUUCUCAAAGAAAUAAUUAGAUUUUUUUUUCUCUUUCUGCCUGGCUCAGCCCCAAAGGAAGCUCAGGCCUCAUUUAAUUUCUUUCACGUAUCAGCUUUAAUUCAGGGAACUUCUACAGUCAUUUACAAUCUUUCAGUUAUUGAGAACGUCAAGCUACUAUUAAAGGCACUGUCCCACUUCCUGGGAUCCUCCUGUUGGCGCGUGAGGGGAUUUGUAUGCAGUGAAUGCAAGCCGUUGCUGCUGAGUAGAUUCACAUUCAACUUCUGAUCCAGGAUUCACAUCACACAUUGCUCUCCCCUCCUGAAGUUGCUUUAGAAGAUAGUUCUGUUAAGAGCUAUCACGAGAGACAGGACGAGGGUUAAAACAAAACAAAAGAAGGCCGUUUCAUGAUCUCGUCAGAGGCACAGCAACUGUGGUCACCCUGCUCCAGAUGUUCCUGUCACCCCUCCACUCCUUGUGCAUAGCCAUCGGGCUCAGACACACACAGGGUCUUAGGGGAGCAUCCACAAACUGACAUGGAGACACCUAGAGUAGAAUGCACAGAAGACACUGCAAGGGUGCUUGUCCUGUGUGGAGCCUGUGAUUGCUUCUGCGGUCAAGCUAGCAGGGCAGUGGUGAACUAGCAGGACAGUGGUGAGCUAACGGGGCAGUGGUGAGCCAGGGUGUUGUGUCACCUCAGGUUCACUGGGCUGGCCCAGUGGGGUCUUUACAGUUGGGCUCUAGAGCUGAAAGACUGUUCACAACUGGCCAGAGCAGUCUCCCUAGCAAGAGCUCAUCAAGACGACCAACGUGAAAGUGAAGGUCCUGGGGAAGCAGCUCCUGUCCCCAGGAUGCCAGUGGUGAGCUGAAGUGGCAGACACCAGGAUGGGGAUGUGUGGAGCCACAGUGGGUGCCUUGGUGUGGAUGUGCAUUGUUGCUUGUGUUGGGCUCAUGAUUUGGAGGAAACCCGUGGGCCAGAUUGUUCUGUGGUGCUGUUCUUGAAUCACUUGUGCAGGUCUCAGAUAGUACCUGAGCCUCGGCCAAGAGUCUCUGUGGUUUCUCUUGGGACCAGGUGGGUUAUGAUCACAUGCAUUGCGUCGUAGGCCAGGCUCGUGUAUGUAUGUAUGUGUGUGUGUGUGUGUGUGUGUGUGUGUGUGUGUGUGUGUGUGUGUGUGUCCAUGAGUCCCAGAGCUGCCCUCUGAUUACACUUGGCCCAGGCCAGCCUGCAGCCCCUCUUUGGUGAGUCAUUGUUAAACAUUAUAAACACAGGAUAGCCCUGAGAUGAACCUCUCUGGGCACAGGGCUGGGAACUUGCUCUCAGAACACAUAGUCUUUGAGAUGCCGAGGGUCGCACCCAGAAUCCUCAUGCUUACAUUUAUUAGCAGAUAUCCUUAGUUCAUGCUAAGCAAGCAUUUUACCACAGAUCUACACCUCCAGCCAUUUUAUUCCUUUUGACACAGGUCUUACUAAAUUAUCCAGGAUGCCCUUAAACUCACUCUGCUUGGCCUUGAAUUUGAGAUUAUUCUUCCUGUCUCCAGAGGAGCUGGGUCAGAGCAUACUGGAGGACUCCUGCCGCUCAGAACACACUACUGCUGAGUGCCUUUGUAGGACUCAGAUUCCCCACAGUGCAGGCGACUGCUGUUCACAUCACUGCCACUUGCCUCUGAACCAUGUCUGGAGGGCUAGACUGACUCCAUCCUUCUAAAUGUCUGGUUCCAGCCAGUUCUUUCUGGGUGAGCCUGGAGCACGCCUCAUGCCCCUUCCUGAGUGGCUUACACUGUCCAGUGUAAGUAUAGCCAUGCUCAGUGGACCUUGAGGCAGUCCUCAAGGGGAGGAUGACAGCCUGUGACAGGCGUGACAGCUGCUGCUUACUGACCAGGAGAUCAAGUCAGGGCACUUGACUGAGCGCUGUGCAGUCAUCACCCUUAGACAAGUCCUCACAGUGGUGCUAUAAGUAGGCCAAAGGAGAACUCUCUGGCUCACGUAUAAACAAGGAGGCAACCAGGUGUAAUCCCAGCACUUUGGAGGCAGAGGCAGGCAGAUUUCUGUGAGUUCAAAGCCAGCCUGAUUUAUGGAGUGAGUUCAAAAACAGUCAAGGCUACACAGAGAAAUCCUGUCUUGGAAAACAGCAAACAACAACAACAACAAACUCAACCAAAACCAAAACCAGGGAAGCAGCCACGAUAAUUGCUUUUGGCUGCAAAAACAAAACAAAACAAACCCCAUAUUUGAGCCUGUUGCUUGCCUCUCAUAGAGGUGUGGAGUUCCUCGUUAAAUGGGCCACAGACAGUGGGAAGCAAAGGCACAGAUGAGCCUCUGUGUCCUUCCCUAACUGAGUAUUGGACCUGACCUGGCCAUGUCUAGCUAAAUGACUGUGGGAGGUCAGCUCUUCUCCCAGCUGGUCAAGGACCCAGCUGGUCAGUCCCUGAGGUCUCUCAUGACCUCCCAAGCCCACAGCUUUGCAUACCCUUCCUGUCAGGGAGGCAUCCAGGGUCCUCAUUGCACCUGUGGAACCCAUCAUCACAUUCCACUCGUUCCUGCCGUCCUCCCUCCGACCGUGAGGUUUGAGGAACCUGUUAUAUCUGGCUUUUUCAUAAACACUUGCCUUUUAGGACAUCAGGGAAAUACAAGAACUCCAUGUUGGAAACCUCAGAGGAGGGACAGGUUCUCCCUGACUACCACAGUGCUUCAGGCACGGCCUCUACUGU
Molecule: long non-coding RNA, 3103 nt
Filed under: Mus musculus (house mouse)
Lineage: Eukaryota; Metazoa; Chordata; Mammalia; Rodentia; Muridae
Description: long non-coding RNA chr17:7262604-7265707
Source: RNAcentral